Medicago truncatula (barrel medic) is the source of this 5942-nucleotide long non-coding RNA. RefSeq lists it as uncharacterized. The record is from RefSeq and is a predicted model, not a curated record. The transcript has 3 exons. Lineage: Eukaryota; Viridiplantae; Streptophyta; Magnoliopsida; Fabales; Fabaceae.
UCUUCAGGUGCUGAAAUCAGAUUCAUUGAUUUCUCAAUUUAGUUCAUUUUUUUUUUAUAGAAACAUCAACAUCUAAACAUAAAUAAGUCUCAAACAUUCUUACGAUCAUUUCAGCUUAUUUGUUUUUGAAAAAUUGUUUUGUUGUUCCGAGUUGUAGUUUUUACAAUGAUCUUGCUUUGAAUGAGAAACAUUUGUUUGUUUCCUUGUCGAAGAUUCCAUGCAAACUGGGUUUGACUUAGUGUAUGUGGUUUUAGUAUCCGAUUAAUUAACAUAUUAAUUAAUCAGAUAUGAAAACCACAGAGUUGUGUUAGACUUAGUUUGUUUAUAUUGUUGAAGAUAGAAUCGACCACUGAACAUGUUUUUCAUAAAUUGUUAUGAGCCAUUUUUCAUUUUUAUCCAACCUUCUCAUUUUCCAUUUUUAUGAUCAUUUUAGCUCCUUUGUUUGGCAAAAAUUGUUUUGUUCAGGGUUGUACUUUUUUGUUUUUUUGCAUUGAAAAUGUUUUGAAUGGGAAACAUUUUUGUUGUUUUCUGUUGAUGAUUUUGUUUUGAAUUAUCCAAAAUAGGCUUGUUUCAAUUUCCCCCAACCUAACCAAACUGAAUUGACAUCCGAGUUUGUGAUCUCUAUGGCCGAUUAAUUGAUUCAGGUAAUCGGGCAUGGAAACCACUGCAUUUGUACUCCUGUUCUCUUUUAGUAAUUUGAUACAAGUUACAAGCUUUUACGCUUGUAUAUUAAUCAAUACUGAGGUAUGUGGAGAUGGUAUACAAUUGCAUGUUUUUAAGGCAUAUAAUUGCUUGUUAAGUAUUGAUCCUGAGAAUUUGGUGAGACUGAUAUUGAUGAGCCAUUACAGUGUUAUCUUGGAGUAAUAGUUAGCCAGAGCAUAUGUCCACUCCAGCGGUGAAAGUGUCCGCUUCAGAAAUGUUUACACCUAACAUUUUGGAAGUUGAAUGCAACCAGAAUCUUAGAGUAAUAAGUCAUACCUAAUGUUUAUACCUAUAUUUACCUUUUUGUUUACAUUUGUUGAAUCACUUCAAAUAGGAAGUGAACAUUGAAUUGAAACAUUUGAGGAGUCCUAAUUAAGACUGUUCAGUUGCUCCCUUCAAUUCAAUAUUUUUGAAGCUAUAUAAGGAAGUUAUCAUAGAUACACUUGAUAUUAAAGGUGUAGCAAGUUCAAUGACUUCAAUGUAGUACUAGAUAUGAAAUAUGAAUACAGACUAAAUAAGUCUUAGAGUAAAGUGUACAAACCAAAUAAAUCUCAUUUUUCAGUAUUAUAAUUUAUUAUAGUUUAAUCCUCAAAUAGUUGGGCUUAGAGACGAGUCUCUAGAAUGGAUGAAGUAAAAAUAGGUUUUGACUGAUGUGGGAUACAAAUCCGAAUUUUCCCUUGAUAGCAAGAGAAGGAGUCUAUAGAGUAGGAUACCUUUAUUUGUCUAUGAUUUGUUUGUGGAACCAAUCGUGUUUUCAGAUACUGUUUUUGCUCGUCACCUGGAUGCAUAGACUAUGGUUACAGUAUAUAAUAGUUUGUUGUGCAGAAUUUAACUUGAAUCAUGCCUUUUUUAUUCAAUUGUAACCAAUGUAUUCUUUUUAAAAUUAUAUAUAAGUUUAUACUGUCAUCCGCAAACAAGAUUGCUUUUAGCUGUUUUGCUGAAAGUAGAAAAAUGGGGCGAUGAUUAUAAUGAGAGAGAGGUCUUUAGUGGGAAAUGCCCAAUUUAUUCAGAAAAUCAUAACCCAACUUCUAUCAGAGUUAGGAUCCUCUCCAUUUAUCAAUAUCAACAAAAAAAUGAAAAGAAUAAGAAAAUGAAGAAGGUUAGAACUUGAAGUUGCCGCCAUACCCUUUUCACCAAAGGGGUUUGGCUUUGGUAUCUCAUAUUCUAUCUUCGUCUUCUUUCUCCUCUUCCUCUUUCUCUUAUGUCCCUUCAUAUUGAAUUGGGUUUUUUCCACAGCGACAGAGCUUUCAUAAUUUACACUUGAUAUGAGCCCUCAACCUUCUGAUUUUCCAUUAUUAUUAUUAACUUAUUUGUUUCUCAAAAAUUAGUUUUGUUCAGAAUUGUAGUGUUUUUUUUUUUUUUUUGCACUGAUUUUUUUAAUUUUGGAUGAGGAAACACUUCAUGUUCUCAUUAAAGAUUCAGUGCGGACAAAAAAAGCUUGAUUGCAGUAGCUACUGCUUGUUUUCUGGUGAACAUGUUUUUCAGAAACAAUAUGGUGGAUUUGUUGUAAUUGGACAGCGGCCAGACAACCGUAGAGAUGGAAUCCACAGAUGUUGAGUUUUUCCUUGUCUCACAUUUCUACUAAUUCUAUCUCACAUUUUUUUUUUUUUUUUUGUAUUUGUUAUCUGCUAACUAAAUUUAAUUGUUCAUUUGGAUGUAAUAUUUUUAAUAUCGACAUAACUUUUGGGGUUUAAUAAAAAGGAAGAAGACAUAACUUUUGUGAAGCAAACAUUGAAUUGAAAUGUUUGUUGAUGCCUAGUUAUAAUAUAUCCUGAGUAAACUGAUUGAUCAAGAGUUUGUGAUUGCACUAUUUGUGUACCUGUGGCAUUUCUUUUUGUUAUAUAAGUAGCGAUUAAUAAAAUUUUGUUUGUUCAAUUUCUGUUUGACUCUGAUUGGGGUUUCUAGCCAAUGGUGCUUUGGAACUAUGGUUAUAUGAAUAGUUGCUUCAAUGGAUUUUUUUUGUGUGGAGAAGUGCUAGUACCCACGUUGAUUGUUUAUUUUUUUAGAGGGAGAUUAGGACAGGGUUUUGCAAUGUUUUGUUAAAAAAUUAAAAUGAUAAAAGGAGGAUGAAUCUGAAGUGAGAGCUGUAAACUUUUGUUCAUUGUGGGAAUACUAUAUAAAAUACCCAGCAUGACAUCCUUUCAAAUUUGUCACACUUGAUGGCGGAAAAAGGGUAUGUUUUGGUUUAAUUUAACAUAUUGUUCUCUUGAUUCAUUUGAUUUCAUUUCAGUUUUUAUAUAUUCAGGCUAAACUCUUAUUUAUCUUUAUUACCCCUUUAAAAAGACUGAAUAUUUUUUUUGGAUCCUUUACUCUCAAGAUUAGAACUAUUUGCCCUUCUGAACAUGUAAUUUAAGGGCAUUUGAUCCUUUCACUAGGAUCUGGGUUGUAUUGGAGUUGUGGAAGGUCAGUGGUGAUUAUAAAUGUAAUAUAGAAAGGGAUAAGGGAGCAAAAAUUAGUUUGAAUUAGAAGACACUUGUCAAACACAAUGAAUCUUUAUUUGUUCUUGACCAUUGGUCAUAUGUUAGAAAAAUCAGUUUGAUUGUUAGGAUUAAGAUUUUGGUCAGUUAAUGUUUUUCUGCAUCUGAAAUUGUUGUGUGUGUAUAAUAUGGAUCAAGAAUGUCUCUAUUUAUAGCCAAUUUUAACUGUACUCUCAUUAUUUAACAUAUAAUUUAAUUUAGGAGAAAACUUAGGUACAGUACCUUGUGUGCUGGUGGUACUGUUCCCUAUCAGAAAAUAACACGUGGCUUAUAAAAACAAACAUAAAGUAAAUUUUAUUUGUAGUUUUCAUGGUGGAUGUGUUCUGGUUAUCAUCAAGAACUUUAUUUGCAAUUUUAGUUAACUAUUUUGCUAUAUAUCUCUAGAAAAAAGAACGAAGAAAUUUUGUGAAUGAAGGUAACACUUUGCUGGAUUUAUCCUUGCUGUUUGAAGGAAUGAAGGUGGAAGUUCAACCUUUGCUAGUUGUUUGUUGCCAUUGACCCUGGAUUCAAAGGAUUUAAUUUGGCUUUAUCCUUCGAGCCACAACUCUAAAAAGAAGGAUGAUAAAGCCAUCACACCCAUAAAGCCAAUUUAUCCAAGAAGAAGGACCAUGUGUGAAAGGGGUAGGGAGAAAUUGAAACGGUAGCUAUGAGCAGUAAAAACAGUGAGACGGAUUAAUGAAGGAAGAAAAGUUAGUUUUUUAAAAGGACACGUGUAUUGUUAUUAUUGGGGAACAGUACCACCAGCACAUAAGGGAAAUUCGGAAAUGGUUUUGCAAUCUUUUGUUAAAAAAGUAAAAUGAUAAAAGGAGGAUGAAGGUGGAGUGAGAGCUGCAAACUUGUGUUGAUUGUGGGAAUACUACAUAAAAGACCCAGCAUGACAUCAAUUCCAAUUUGUCACAGUUGAUGGCAAAAAAAGGAGACUAUGACACAAGUUCACAGCCGAUAGAGAGUCCAAGUUCACAUGACCUGCAAAUUUAUGGGAUUGUUGUGACUACUGUGUUAUGCUUUAUUGUAUUUGGAGGAGUGAAGAUGAUAAAUUGGGUUGCACCUGCAUUUCUCAUACCUGUUUUAUUCUCACUCAUCUGCAUAUAUUUGGGAAUUCUGUUGGCAAAGGAGGAUCAUCCCACAGGCUUGUUUUAUUCUCAUCGUUAACUUGUCCUUUUGCUAGUUUAUCCAUGCUUUGGCUUCAUCAUAGGCUCAAGUUCACACAGGUUUUUUUUUUUUUCUGUAAGCUUUCCUUGUUUGGUAAAACUUGGUUAAUAUUUAUAAUGUUUAGCCUAUACAAAAUAAAGGGGAGACAGGUGAGUGUCAACCCGAGGAUUCUUGCAGAAGCGUAUAAAUAUGAAAUGAAAUGGAGGAAAACCAAUGAUGAUUAUAAAUGCUAUAUAGAAUUGUUAGGAACAAGAAUGACUACAAAUUGAUGAACAGGGGCCAACUUGUUAAUAUUUUUUAUUUUAUGUUUGAUAAGGUAAAAUAAAUAAAUUUUUAGGAAAAAAUGAAACCCUAAUAAAAAUGGGUGAUGCAAUGAGUUGUAUCCUUUGUUCGCCACUUUUAGUGAUUCAGUCAUUUUGCGGAACCGAAAGUGCAGGGCAAUGAUUAGAAUGAGAGAAGCCUUGAGUGGGAACCCAAUUCCAUUGAUAAAUUUGUAUAUAGAAACACUUUUAUUCUCUUCACCCCACACACACAAAAAAAAAUCAAUCAAAACAAAAUCAAAGAAGCUUUGAGCUUAAUGGUGCCGCUGAGCCUUUUUUUACCAAAGGGGUUUGGCUUUGGUAUCUCAGGUUCUAUCUUCGUCUUCCUUCUCCUCCUUCUCUUUUUUAUUCUCUUAUCGUCCCUUAAAUUGAAUUGGGUUUUCCUCAUAAUGACAGAUCAUUCACAAUUCACACUUGAUAUGAGCCCCUCAACCUUCUGAUUUUAUAUUGUUUUGAUUAUUAACUUUUUUGUUUUGUGAGGAGUUGUAGUUUUUUGGACGAGGAACACUCGUUUGCUGUUUUCUUGUUAAAGAUUCAGUGCGCACAGGAAAAGCUUGAUUAUAGCUACUACUGCUUGUUUUCUGCUUUUCAGAAAAAUGGUGGGUUUGUUGUAAUUGGGCAGCGGCCAGAUAACUAUGAUUGGCUUUUUUUUGGUUGCUCGUUACCCUGAUGCGGCAACUAUGGUUACAGUAUAGGAAUAGUUUGUUGUGUAGAAUUAAACUUGAAUCAUGUCUCUUUCAUUCAAAUCAUCAUAACAAAUGUAUUCUUUAUAACAUAUAUUUGUAACUUAAUUGUAAACUAGAAGACAGCAUAAUUUGACUCAUGAAUGGAUGGACUUUCCUGUCUUAAUGCCAUAACUGGAUCAUUGGCUUUCUAAUCAAGGGGUUCACGGCAGCAUAUUGUAUCUGAUCUUGGCUGUUGACAGGGACUCUUAAUCACUUGGAUUUAAAAUUACAAUGGAUGUUUUGGUCAUGUUAAGUUGGUAAAUUUUCAUUUCAAGUAUUAUACUCAAGAUAGCUAGGAAGCCAAUUCCUUUGUGACGGUCUUGAUAAUGAAGAAUCUUGCAUUAAGGGAUGAAGGAGCUUUGAUACUGGUAGCAAAAUGCUUGGUAUAAUGAGUUCUUUUUUUAAUUGAGGUGUAAGGAUAUUUAAAGUACUAAUUGAUGCAAUCCUGUGAUCAAGAUAUAGUGAUGACUUUGGACUGCUAUUUGGCUCUUGUAUAUUGUUUAUCUUUGCUUUAUGUAUUGUAUUCAAGGUGCUGCUAGUAAGAAACGUUUUUUUAGUGUGGCUAA